This 299-nucleotide ribosomal RNA is filed under the name uncultured bacterium. Its description in RNAcentral is "partial 16S ribosomal RNA". It matches the Rfam family "Bacterial small subunit ribosomal RNA", at positions 334 to 630 of the family's 1533-position model. The record is from RNAcentral.
UUGGCCUACGGGGGGCAGCAGUGAGGAAUAUUGGUCAAUGGGCGGAAGCCUGAACCAGCCAAGUCGCGUGAGGGAAGAAGGCCCUGCGGGUCGCAGACCUCUUUGGACGGGGAGCAAGGCCGCCGACGUGUCGGCGGAAGGAGAGUACCCGUAGAACAAGCAUCGGCUAACUCCGUGCCAGCAGCCGCGGUAAUACGGAGGAUGCGAGCGUUAUCCGGCUUUAUUGGGUUUAAAGGGUGCGCAGGCGGCACGGCAAGCCGGCGGUCAAAUCGCGGGGCUCCACCCAGCCCAGCCGUUGA